CCUACGGGUGGCAGCAGUGGGGAAUAUUGGACAAUGGGGGCAACCCUGAUCCCGCCAUGCCGCGUGUGUGAAGAAGGCCCUCGGGUUGUAAAGCACUUUCAGUGAGGAAGAACGCCUGGUGGUUAAUACCCAUCAGGAAAGACAUCACUCACAGAAGAAGCACCGGCUAACUCCGUGCCAGCAGCCGCGGUAAUACGGAGGGUGCGAGCGUUAAUCGGAAUUACUGGGCGUAAAGCGCGCGUAGGUGGCUUGAUAAGCCGGUUGUGAAAGCCCCGGGCUCAACCUGGGACCGGCAUCCGGAACUGUCAAGCUAGAGUGCAGGAGAGGAAGGUAGAAUUCCCGGUGUAGCGGUGAAAUGCGUAGAGAUCGGGAGGAAUACCAGUGGCGAAGGCGGCCUUCUGGACUGACACUGACACUGAGGUGCGAAAGCGUGGGUAGCAAACAGGAUUAGAUACCCGUGUAGUC
This 465-nucleotide ribosomal RNA is filed under the name Vreelandella stevensii. RNAcentral describes it as "partial 16S ribosomal RNA". It matches the Rfam family "Bacterial small subunit ribosomal RNA", at positions 338 to 795 of the family's 1533-position model. Lineage: Bacteria; Pseudomonadati; Pseudomonadota; Gammaproteobacteria; Oceanospirillales; Halomonadaceae. The record is from RNAcentral.